AAUAAUAAAAAAAAAUAGAGGUUAGCCAAAUCCACGCCCUUUUAAAAAUAGGGGCGUAUUCCAGCCUACAUACGUUCCCGUCAUUGGUCAACAGCAUGAAAGCGGUGAUUGGAUAGAUUCAGAGUGCGCGAGAGGAGCAUCAUUCAAGCGCGAGUUCUCUCACUUCAGCUGAGAAUAAUGAAUGCCAAUAGCGCUACAGGUGUCAACACAAUGUGAUCAUCAGAUUCCAAACAAAGAUUACCUGUACUCUGCUGAAGUGUGCUGACAAGAAGGAAGAUUGAGCAGGAGCAAAGAUCCUAAUUUUCCAGAAUAUUUGGCCAUUGUGUACAAUGUACAGAACCACAACGUUUGUGGCAGAUGCCCUCAGACAUAGGGAUUUGGGGGCCAAAGCCAUAGAGACACUGACCCAGCUCUUUGAAAUCGGGCACUCCCCCUCAUCUCCCUAACGUCCUGAAGAACGACCUGCAGAUUUAGUACAGAGAGGACUACAUCUUCACCUCUGUCGAGACCUCCAGUUCUGUUACCGUAACUUUAUUAUGAUAAAACCAAGACAUGGGGAGGAGCUGCCACGCGGAGCUACCAACCCGAUGGAACAACUUUGUGGAGGCAGCAAUGCGGGUCCUUAUGGAUAAAAACCCUCUAUUAUGAGGCACGGGUGACUGAUGUUGCCCUUGAUGGCAGGGAAACAUUCCAGCUCUCUUGUUUUCUGGCCCAGGAAAGCAACAUCAGCCCAUCUGACAUUGAGCAGGUGGGGGAGAAGCAGUACAGGGUGAAGGACACCACACCAGGCCAGACCUAUACUGUGGACAUAGAGAUGGACCUCUGCACUUUUCCAGUAGGGCACACAGGAGCUCCAUGCAAGCACCAGGCUGCUGUGGUUCAGAUAUACAAAUGCCUGUCCAUCAACUUCCUCCCGGCAACACCAGAGAUGAGGGCUGAGAAGCUAAAGAUAACAUGAGUUAAAAUAGUGGCUAAUGAAUUAUUGUUUAUGGUUAGAAAAUUAUUUCAAUGUGAAUAUUUUAUGUACCAAAGCAGAGUGCUGAAGUUGAUUAAAUAUCUCUUACAGCAACAAUACCUCUGGAUUUUCUGCAGCAAAUGAGACAGCCAAGUCAGCCAUUAGAUGCAGCUAGAUGUCCCAACCCCAAGAUCCCCUGUCAGCCUACUGCAGUUGGCCUUAGAGCGAGCAAGGUUGGAUCGAAGAGUUGUCUGACUGCUGGACGUCCAAAACCCGGAACAGCGGUCCUGAGCACAUUUACUGCUUAGACAAAAAGAGGAAAAGGCCUGCCAGGGAAGACAUGCGCCUAAUGUGGUACCCUUCCUGCAGGCUCAACCUGGCAUGACCCUCCAGCAUGGCAAUGCCACCAGCCAUACUGCUCCUUCUGUGCGUGAUUUCCUGCAAGAUAUAACUAUUUAAUUCUAUAAUGUCCAAAUUUGUGGCUAUUGACGAUGUCUGCAUUUUCUGUGAAAAAGGUGAGAAUCCGACUCGCUUGUGCUUUGAGUGUAAAUUUGCCCUAAUUUUGGGAAAAACUUGCAGAAUACUUAUUUACCAUUAUGAACACUACCAAUGUUUUUGACAUUAUAUAAUGUUACUAUUGCAAUGAUAACAAAACCAUUGAAAUGCUUUGACUUUUUUCUUUCUUGUUGCCAAAUACUUUAUACAAACAAAAAUUCCAGAGUUCUAUACCAAAAUUACACUUAAUUUAAUUCAUAAGACAUUAUCCCUAGUGAAUAACAUCUUCCUGGAUCAUUGAGAUUUUUCAGAGUGAAUACAAUUGCACUAGAAUUGUUUUUAAACUUAUUGACUUUUUUUUGUUGUAUUUUCUUGUUAAUACUUGUCUUGUUAGACAUGUUUGGUGUAGCAAUGUAAGUAGAUUUUUGUGUUAUGAAUAAAAAAUAAAAUAAACAUUCGGCUUUA
Molecule: long non-coding RNA, 1915 nt
Organism: Oncorhynchus gorbuscha (pink salmon)
Lineage: Eukaryota; Metazoa; Chordata; Actinopteri; Salmoniformes; Salmonidae
Exons: 7
Source: RefSeq, a predicted model, not a curated record